Long non-coding RNA from Vicia villosa (hairy vetch), 478 nucleotides. RefSeq lists it as uncharacterized. Lineage: Eukaryota; Viridiplantae; Streptophyta; Magnoliopsida; Fabales; Fabaceae. The record is from RefSeq and is a predicted model, not a curated record. The transcript is spliced from 3 exons.
AAAAUUUGAAGCCCAGUAUACAUUAACCUAGCUAUAUAUAUCACCCUUAGUAAGAUUAGUGAGCAAACCCUAGCCGUUUCCAAAUACAAUUAUUUGUCUCUGUUUUUCUCUCUGAUUCAGAAACUCAACAAGAUUCAGUAUUCAGAAGAACUAAAUACUUAUUCUGAGAUGAAGAAUAUGAAGUUAAUUUCAAAAUGAAGAGGUUGUUAGAAAGAAACCCCUAUAACCUUUAACCAAGAUUGAAGAAAUUGUCAACAAGAUUGCUGCUGGUUUUUUGCUCUCCAUCAGAGAAGCAAUUUGGGAAUGUUGGGAAUAUCUGGCCUUUGAAUGAAAUUACAGACUCUGAAUUUUUAUGGAAUUUUUAUGAUAUAACCAUGGACAGUGUGAAAUUCCUUUGACAUGAACAGUGUGAAAUACAUCCUCAAAAUAGAAUUAUUAAAAUGUUAUAAAUGAAUUAAAAAUGUUAUAAAUAGAUUAA